Molecule: long non-coding RNA, 280 nt
Filed under: Homo sapiens (human)
Lineage: Eukaryota; Metazoa; Chordata; Mammalia; Primates; Hominidae
Description: non-protein coding lnc-ZNF705D-2:30
Source: RNAcentral
AUUGUUGUCCUUUAAUGCUCAUAACUGCUUUUGAGGCCAUUUCCAAUCCAGCGGAAGACCUUCUAGAAGAGAUGAUGGUGGGAGAGUGCUGACAUACUAUGUGAAGCUACUAUUUGGAGUUGGACACGAGUGCAUGUGUCCUUGUGCCACAACGGGAAUGUGAGCUGGAUGACAAAUGGAGAUUUGGACUUGUGAUAAUUGGCCUCUGUGUCAUUGUGUGGAAGACUGACUGGUCCCUUUAUUUCCUGUAGCUUGACUACAACACAAAUGAAUCCACUCA